UACGGGGGGAGCAAGCGUUGUUCGGAUUUACUGGGCGUAAAGGGCGCGUAGGCGGUCGUGACAAGUCACCUGUGAAAUCUCCGGGCUUAACCCGGAAAGGUCAAGUGAUACUGUCGGACUAGAGUACAGAAGGGGCAACUGGAAUUCUCGGUGUAGCGGUGAAAUGCGUAGAUAUCAAGAGGAAUACCUGAGGUGAAGACGGGUUGCUAGGCCGACACUGACGCUGAAGCGCGAAAGCCAGGGGAGCAAACGGG
RNAcentral lists this ribosomal RNA (254 nucleotides) under uncultured bacterium. Its description in RNAcentral is "partial 16S ribosomal RNA". It matches the Rfam family "Bacterial small subunit ribosomal RNA", at positions 524 to 776 of the family's 1533-position model. The record is from RNAcentral.